GUAGGGAAUAUUGCGCAAUGGACGAAAGUCUGACGCAGCGACGCCGCGUGAGUGAUGAAGGCCUUAGGGUCGUAAAGCUCUGAUGAAUGGGAAGAAAAAAAUGACGGUACCAUUCGAGGAAGGACCGGCUAACUUCGUGCCAGCAGCCGCGGUAAUACGAGGGGUCCUAGCGUUGUUCGGAAUCAUUGGGCGUAAAGGGUGUGUAGGUGGCCAUGUAAGUCAGGUGUGAAAGCCCCGGGCUCAACCCGGGAAGUGCACUUGAUACUGCGUGGCUUGAGUACCGAAGAGGGUAGUGGAAUUCCAGGUGUAGUGGUGAAAUACGUAGAUAUCUGGAGGAACACCGGUGGCGAAGGCGGCUACCUGGUCGAGUACUGACACUGAGACACGAAAGCAUGGGGAUCAAACAGGAUUAGAAACCCGGGUAGUCC
Molecule: ribosomal RNA, 428 nt
Filed under: uncultured bacterium
Lineage: Bacteria
Description: partial 16S ribosomal RNA
Rfam family: Bacterial small subunit ribosomal RNA
Source: RNAcentral